This 503-nucleotide ribosomal RNA is filed under the name uncultured bacterium. RNAcentral's name for it is "partial 16S ribosomal RNA". It matches the Rfam family "Bacterial small subunit ribosomal RNA", at positions 30 to 523 of the family's 1533-position model. The record is from RNAcentral.
AUUGAACGCUGGCGGCAGGCUUAACACAUGCAAGUCGAGCGGGGUGAUGGUGCUUGCACUAUCACUUAGCGGCGGACGGGUGAGUAAUGCUUAGGAAUCUGCCCAUUCGUGGGGGACAACAUCUCGAAAGGGAUGCUAAUACCGCAUACGUCCUACGGGAGAAAGCAGGGGACCACUUGUGACCUUGCGCUAAUAGAUGAGCCUAAGUCGGAUUAGCUAGUUGGUGGGGUAAAGGCCUACCAAGUCGACGAUCUGUAGCGGGUCUGAGAGGAUGAUCCGCCACACUGGGACUGAGACACGGCCCAGACUCCUACGGGAGGCAGCAGUGGGGAAUAUUGGACAAUGGGGGGAACCCUGAUCCAGCCAUGCCGCGUGUGUGAAGAAGGCCUUAUGGUUGUAAAGCACUUUAAGCGAGGAGGAGGCUCUUUUGGUUAAUACCCAAGAUGAGUGGACGUUACUCGCAGAAUAAGCACCGGCUAACUCUGUGCCAGCCGCCGCGGUAA